AGAGUUUGAUCAUGGCUCAGAUUGAACGCUGGCGGCAGGCCUAACACAUGCAAGUCGAACGGUAACAGGAAGCAGCUUGCUGCUUCGCUGACGAGUGGCGGACGGGUGAGUAAUGUCUGGGAAGCUGCCUGAUGGAGGGGGAUAACUACUGGAAACGGUAGCUAAUACCGCAUAAUGUCGCAAGACCAAAGAGGGGGACCUUCGGGCCUCUUGCCAUCGGAUGUGCCCAGAUGGGAUUAGCUUGUUGGUGGGGUAACGGCUCACCAAGGCGACGAUCCCUAGCUGGUCUGAGAGGAUGACCAGCCACACUGGAACUGAGACACGGUCCAGACUCCUACGGGAGGCAGCAGUGGGGAAUAUUGCACAAUGGGCGCAAGCCUGAUGCAGCCAUGCCGCGUGUAUGAAGAAGGCCUUCGGGUUGUAAAGUACUUUCAGCGGGGAGGAAGGGAGUAAAGUUAAUACCUUUGCUCAUUGACGUUACCCGCAGAAGAAGCACCGGCUAACUCCGUGCCAGCAGCCGCGGUAAUACGGAGGGUGCAAGCGUUAAUCGGAAUUACUGGGCGUAAAGCGCACGCAGGCGGUUUGUUAAGUCAGAUGUGAAAUCCCCGGGCUCAACCUGGGAACUGCAUCUGAUACUGGCAAGCUUGAGUCUCGUAGAGGGGGGUAGAAUUCCAGGUGUAGCGGUGAAAUGCGUAGAGAUCUGGAGGAAUACCGGUGGCGAAGGCGGCCCCCUGGACGAAGACUGACGCUCAGGUGCGAAAGCGUGGGGAGCAAACAGGAUUAGAUACCCUGGUAGUCCACGCCGUAAACGAUGUCGACUUGGAGGUUGUGCCCUUGAGGCGUGGCUUCCGGAGCUAACGCGUUAAGUCGACCGCCUGGGGAGUACGGUCGCAAGGUUAAAACUCAAAUGAAUUGACGGGGGCCCGCACAAGCGGUGGAGCAUGUGGUUUAAUUCGAUGCAACGCGAAGAACCUUACCUGGUCUUGACAUCCACGGAAGUUUUCAGAGAUGAGAAUGUGCCUUCGGGAACCGUGAGACAGGUGCUGCAUGGCUGUCGUCAGCUCGUGUUGUGAAAUGUUGGGUUAAGUCCCGCAACGAGCGCAACCCUUAUCCUUUGUUGCCAGCGGUCCGGCCGGGAACUCAAAGGAGACUGCCAGUGAUAAACUGGAGGAAGGUGGGGAUGACGUCAAGUCAUCAUGGCCCUUACGACCAGGGCUACACACGUGCUACAAUGGCGCAUACAAAGAGAAGCGACCUCGCGAGAGCAAGCGGACCUCAUAAAGUGCGUCGUAGUCCGGAUUGGAGUCUGCAACUCGACUCCAUGAAGUCGGAAUCGCUAGUAAUCGUGGAUCAGAAUGCCACGGUGAAUACGUUCCCGGGCCUUGUACACACCGCCCGUCACACCAUGGGAGUGGGUUGCAAAAGAAGUAGGUAGCUUAACCUUCGGGAGGGCGCUUACCACUUUGUGAUUCAUGACUGGGGUGAAGUCGAAACAAGGUA
Molecule: ribosomal RNA, 1500 nt
Filed under: metagenome
Description: bacterial SSU rRNA
Rfam family: Bacterial small subunit ribosomal RNA
Source: RNAcentral